This 3100-nucleotide long non-coding RNA is filed under the name Sus scrofa (pig). RNAcentral's name for it is "lncRNA (ENSSSCG00000060541.1)". Lineage: Eukaryota; Metazoa; Chordata; Mammalia; Artiodactyla; Suidae. The record is from RNAcentral.
GGUCACCUAUUUUUUCAAAUUGAUUAUAGAAUCAUGUUAUCAAGUAUUGUAUUUAGAACACUAUUAGAUCGUCUUAUUGGGAUUUAAAGCAAGUAUUUACUGUAGAGAUGCCUUGAAGAGGACUAUCUUUACAAACAGAAUUUCUUAAACUGCAAACCAGGUGUUUAUCCUGUCCCUCAGACACUGAAAGCAGAAUUGCAUGGGAGCAAGUGAUCAUUACUGGACUGAAAGUCCCUAAAUUCACAUUACUUUGGCUAAGCUUUGAGCCAACAAGCGAUUUAAACUGAAGAUGGCUGGUAUUUGCUAGUACAGACCCAUUUCACAUCCAGUUAGACUCCAAUUUAGAGAUUUCUUUUUCUUUUCCUCUAUGCCAAGCAGUGAUGGAAGAUUUACUUGGUAAGUUUGUGAGGUACUUCAGGAAGUUUCCUCACAGCUUUUGGAAGGAGUAGACAGCAAUGAAGGGUGUCAUGUCUUUUAACUGGCCUGAUACCUUCACUUAAGGUAUAAGCUGGUCAAGGACUUGGUCUUGAGAUGCCAGGACUCAGUUUUCUUCUCUAAGCUCUUCAGUCUUCUAAACACUAGAUUCUGAUCUCUCAUCAAAACUAGCAGAGCUGUUUAUUUGGAGGCAUGGUCCUGGCACUUCCCACCAUCCUUUGCAGUCCAUUCAAACUGAAGCAGGUAGGUGAAUUGUUCUACCUAGUACCUGAACGUGGCUGGAGAAUUAAGAAUUGAUCAAAGAAGUUCUCUGCUACCACAAUAGAUAUCCAGCACCAUUAACCAGAGUUUGUGUUUUAUUCACAAGAAAAUCUAGCAUUCCCUAAAACAUGCACACAUUAUUUUUUUAGAAACAAUUCUGAUAAAUUAUUAUUAUGAUUAUUAUUAUCAUUUUAGUCUUUUGUCUUUUUAGGGCCACACAAGGCUAGGGGUCGAAUCGCUACAGCCACAGCAACGUGAGAUCAGAGCCACAUCUGCAACCUACACCACACCACAUGGCAAUGCUGAAUCCUUAACCACUGAGUGGUACCAGGGAUCAAACCUGUGUCCUCAUGGAUACUAUUCAGGUUUGUUAACCGCUGAGCCAUGAGAACUCCAGAUAAAUUCUAAUAAACUUGGUGACUUUGUCAUCCAACCCAUAACAUAAUGGAAGUAGUUAAAUUAACAGGCACUACUAGAAAUUAGUAAGUUGACAACCAAGAAGGGCACUUGACAAAGGAGGAAACCAUAUGAGAAACCAAAUAAACUCAUUAGACAUUCAUUCCACUGCACACCAGAUAAUCCUAAGUCGUUCAUUAAACCUGAAGGCAUUUCAACAACAUGAGUUUAUAAAAAAAAGACCGCAAGUCAUCAAGAAAAGAUCUAAAAUGUGCUGAUGCUUAGAGGUUUAAGCUUAAGUAAAAUGGAAAUUUACUGAUGUGAGAAACAUGCCUGAUAAUACUAAAAAAAUUUAAUUUUAUUGCAUGUAAUUCAGGCUGUACCCAAAUCUGCAUAACUUGACACUAUUUGUGCUAGUCAAGCUCAGUGAUUCCUGCCUGGUUGUUCCUUUUCCUUUUCCACAUCUUUUUUCUUAUCAUUUUUUGGUUAAAAAAAAAAUAGUUGAUGGUGACAUGGCUUAGAGACUUAUAUCUGACUUAUAUAACGCAAACUGUGGAGAGAAAAAGCUUUAUUCUCCAUAAUACUGUAUUUCUUGGGAGUAGGAGUUAUCUUUAUUCUCCCAACAAGGGAACAACAAAUUUCUGGCUGUUAUUAAAACGUCUUCUGGGGAGUUCCUGUCAUGGCGCAGUGGAAACGAAUCCGACUAGGAACCAUGAGGUUGCAAGUUUGAUCCCUGGCCUCACUCAGUGGGUUAAGGAUCCAGUGUUGCAGUGAGCUGUGGUGUAGGUUGCAGACACAGCUUGGAUCUGGCAUUGCUGUGGCUCUGGCGAAGGCCUGUGGCUACAGCUCUGAUUAGACCCCUACCCUGGGAGCUUCCAUAUGCUGUGGGUGCAGCCCUAAAAAGACAAAAAGACCAAAAAAAUCAAUAAAUAAAUGUCUUCUGCAGGAUGUCUGUGGAAAGAAGGCUGACUUGGAGACUUUCAUUAUUUUAUUAAAGGUUUUCUCAGAACUGACGCAAUCCGAGAAUAAAAACUUUCAACCUUAGCAGAAUGCAUGUACUGUACUUUAAAUGAUUUUGUGCUGCCUCCUACCUCUUCCUGACAGAUGUAGGGUCAGAGUCACAAACUAGGAUAAUAAACAAUGUGUUUGUAAAGGAUGAUUCUGUGUUCUGUGAGCUUCUCACCUGUGCCCUUUGGAAUCACAGAGACAUCAUAGAUAUUGGUAAAAGGUUAGAGAACCAAAAGAGGCAGAUACUAACAAAGUUUUCAAAAGGGGAAAAGAGCAGAUUUCAGAAAUGAUCCACUCAUUUGUUUGACAUUAUUCCUCAGCAGAAUUUUGGAAUAAGUCACUACAUGGUUGUGAGUACAUGGAAAAGAAUCUGAUAAUCACCAGGAUGAUGUUUGUGGCAAAGAAUUAAGUAUGCCAAAUUACUCUUCUUUCACUUAUUUCAAACCUUUAUUAUAUUUAUGUGUCUGAUCAGUGAGAUAGAAUGUCGUUUGCCCCAAAUCAUAUGACCAGGUCUCUCAUAAUAUUCACAUGGUUAAGGUAGAGGAAAUUGAGUUGGAUUACACUCGACAUGUUAAAGAUGGUAGUUGAAUAGCCACACACCAAGAAUCUAAAAGAUCAGUGUUGGAGUUCCCAUUGCAGCUCAAGGGGUUACAAACCCUACCAGUAUCCAUGAGGAUGUGGUUUAAUCCCUGGCCUUGCUCAGUGGGUUAAUGAUUGGGCAUUGCUGUGAGCUGUGGUAUAGGUCACAGAUACAGCUUGGAUCUAGCAUUGCUGUGGCUGUAAUGAAGGCCGGAAGCUGCAGCUCCGAUUGACCCCUGGCCCAGGACUUCCAUAUGCCACAGGUGUAGCCACAGGAAAAUAAAAUGACAUCUUGCCAAGAAAGUGAAAAGAGGAGCUCCCUUGUAGCACAGUGGGUUAAGGAUUGGGGCACUGUCGCUGCAGCAACCUUGACUGCUGCUAUGGCACGGGUUUGAUCCCUGGCCUGGGAACUUCCACAUGC